UGGGAAGUAUUGCAUCAAUGGGCAGGCGAGCCUGCAUGCAGCCAUGCCGCGUGUAUGAAGAAGGCCCUAGGGUUGUAAAGUACUUUCAGUCGGGAGGAAGGCGUUGAUGCUAAUAUCAUCAGCGAUUGACGUUACCGACAGAAGAAGCACCGGCUAACUCCGUGCCAGCAGCCGCGGUAAUACGGAGGGUGCAAGCGUUAAUCGGAAUUACUGGGCGUAAAGCGCACGCAGGCGGUUGAUUAAGUUAGAUGUGAAAUCCCGCU
This 263-nucleotide ribosomal RNA is filed under the name uncultured Providencia sp. Its description in RNAcentral is "partial 16S ribosomal RNA". It matches the Rfam family "Bacterial small subunit ribosomal RNA", at positions 355 to 606 of the family's 1533-position model. The record is from RNAcentral. Lineage: Bacteria; Pseudomonadati; Pseudomonadota; Gammaproteobacteria; Enterobacterales; Morganellaceae.